RNAcentral lists this microRNA precursor (53 nucleotides) under Marmota monax (woodchuck). Lineage: Eukaryota; Metazoa; Chordata; Mammalia; Rodentia; Sciuridae. The record is from RNAcentral.
UUUUUAGUAUAAAGUAUGUCCUAUGCAAUAUUUGGGACAUACCUAGAUUAAAA